Non-coding RNA from Meleagris gallopavo (turkey), 422 nucleotides. The record is from RefSeq and is a predicted model, not a curated record. Lineage: Eukaryota; Metazoa; Chordata; Aves; Galliformes; Phasianidae.
AGAGGAGUGCUGGCAGGGCCCCUCUGCUCCUUGGCAAGGGGGUCCGGCUUGGGCCGUGGCUGCCUUGGCCUUGCCACGGCCCCUUCCCCUCCACCGCCUCCAGCCGGCACGGCAGGCACACAGCAGGACCCUGGGGACGGCCCUCAGGGGCACCUGGCCCUGCCAGCUGCUCACCGCUGCUCGCAUUUGCUCUCUCCUCUGCAGUGUGUGUGCUGUGUGGCCGGGCAGAUGUCGACCCGGACGCCUUCGGGCACAUGCUGUCUGAAAGUGGGAUUCAUGUCCACGAGUUAUGCUUGUCGUUUGCCAACAUCACUUCUGAAGUAGCAAGACUAAGGCUGUCGGGAAGUGAGGGCCUCCCCGUUGCUGCCAUCAGACGUGCAGUCAAACAGGCCACCAAGCAGCAAUGCUUUGUUUGUGGCGAG